Molecule: transfer RNA, 358 nt
Filed under: uncultured Microcystis sp.
Lineage: Bacteria; Bacillati; Cyanobacteriota; Cyanophyceae; Chroococcales; Microcystaceae
Description: partial 16S-23S ribosomal RNA intergenic spacer
Rfam family: tRNA (bases 133-206)
Source: RNAcentral
AAGGGAGACCUAAUUCCGGUAGGAGACGAAAAAAAAGUAGUCCCAACCAAGAAUCAAUCCCAAAAGGUCGGAACGAGGUAUGAGGCUUUCAAACUAGGUUCUGGGUUCAUAAAAGACCUGAAUCAGGAACAAGGGCUAUUAGCUCAGGUGGUUAGAGCGCACCCCUGAUAAGGGUGAGGUCCCUGGUUCGAGUCCAGGAUGGCCCACCUGCACAGGUGGCAAAAACAAGAGAAGCUCCGAAUCAGCACCUUAUCUUAUAUACAUAUAUAAGAGAGAAUGCUGGCUCUGAGUACAGAGUCCAGAGGAACCUUGAAGACUGCAUAGAGCUAGGUGAAAAAGCCAAAAAAGAAGACCGCAA